Small nuclear RNA from Mesoplodon densirostris (Blainville's beaked whale), 192 nucleotides. RefSeq annotates it as U2 spliceosomal RNA. The transcript has a single exon. NCBI's taxonomy places the organism in Eukaryota, Metazoa, Chordata, Mammalia, Artiodactyla, Ziphiidae. The record is from RefSeq and is a predicted model, not a curated record.
AUCACUUCUCUGCUUUUUGGCUAAGAUCAAGUGUAGUAUCUGUUCCUAUCAGUUUAAAACGGUGAUUGUGAUGAAGUCUUUUGAAUACACUGGCGUCCAAACAUUUUACCACAUUUUAUUAUACAAAUGUUCAUGUUCACACUUUUUUAACAGUGUGUCAUGUAUUUCAAAGAAAUCUGAUGUGGAGCCCAA